Molecule: long non-coding RNA, 668 nt
Filed under: Homo sapiens (human)
Lineage: Eukaryota; Metazoa; Chordata; Mammalia; Primates; Hominidae
Description: HSALNT0110216
Source: RNAcentral
GUCAAGAUGGCCGAAAAGGAACGGCUGCGGUCUACAGCUCCCAGCUUGAGCGACACAGAAGACGGUGAUUUCUGCAUUUCCAUCUGAGGUAGUGACAAAGAUAAAGAAUUGGAGAAAGGGAAAAGCAGUCCAGGAUCUUCAGGACACAGAAGAGGAGAGAAGCCCAGGAACCUGAGCUACUAAAGGGAGCUUGUGCCACACAGGGAUGAGACGAAAGGUUUCACAAGUACAAGAUUACAACAGUGGGCUUCAGUCUGGAAACAAGGAAGAACAUAAGCAGACAGGCUUCGCUGAGGCUGCUGCUCAGGGUACUAGUAUCUAAAUCUCUGAAAUUGAGAUACUACUUCAAUCUGUAAGGGAUUCCAGAGUGCUUGUCUCUAUAGACCCUUGGCAGAAGCAAAUGAAAAAUCACCUCAGGAAGAUGAUCUCUUCCUGUGUCUCUCAGGGCCAGAUUAGAGUGAGGUGAGAUUGGCAGUCACCUCAGGUGUAAAAUUUAAGAGGAAAGGAGAAUGCCAAGAAAACCCUAAUCAAGUGAUCAGAAACUCAAGUUAUGCACAGAAUGUUUAUGUCCCCUGAAAAUUCAUAUCUUGAAUCCUAACUGCCAAUGUGAUGGCAUUAGAAGGUGGGAAUAUGUGAAAUAAAGGAACUCAUAAAUGAUGCCACAAACG